CUGCAAAAAAGGAAGUCCACACUGACCGGAGGCGGCUCCGGCGGGGACCCUCCGACGGUCAAGUCAGAGAGGUGACUGGACAACAGUGAAAUGAAGACAGAGAGCUCAAACGAGAGAGAGAAAGAGAGAGAGGGGGAGCAAGCCUGUAGUUUCGAAGUCCCUCUGCACUGUUGCCUUCCCCGAUAUUUAUAGUGAGGCGCGGCAUGGCGCCGUCAUUAAUGGCGCAGAUAAUUGAGGAAUUGUCAACUCACUGUAGAUUGUCAGAGUCGCCGUGAAAGCGUCAUAUCGCCGCGGGACUGUCAAAUCACUAGGGUUGACAAUGUCCUAGGCGGGAUAAUGCCCUUGGGUGGCAGUGCCGCAUAUUGCUGUCAGGACUGACAGGCUCCGGCGGCUGUACGGCGAUCGGAGGAGUCGACCGAUCCUAGGUCGGUGGCCAUCUGUGUGGCGUCGGGUGGAGAUUCGGACCCCUUUGACGGUCAGCCGGGCAUGUUGCGAGAGUCGGCCAUCAGACUCUCUGUUUCAGUCGGCCCGGAGAGUGGAAACCCGACCGACAUAUCCACGGACGGAAGAGGGCCGUUAAUCGACCGGUCAGUCGGUCGGUCCCUCCGGCAGUCGGUCGGUCGGCCGGUCCCUCCGCCAGUCGGUCGGUCGGACGGUCCCUCCACCAGUCGGUCGGUCGGUCCCUCCGUUAGUCGGUCGGUCGGUCGG
Molecule: long non-coding RNA, 708 nt
Filed under: Elaeis guineensis (African oil palm)
Lineage: Eukaryota; Viridiplantae; Streptophyta; Magnoliopsida; Arecales; Arecaceae
Description: long non-coding RNA (EGUI_LNC072244)
Source: RNAcentral